This 23-nucleotide small nuclear RNA is filed under the name Arabidopsis thaliana (thale cress). Its description in RNAcentral is "snRNA_15958". The record is from RNAcentral. Lineage: Eukaryota; Viridiplantae; Streptophyta; Magnoliopsida; Brassicales; Brassicaceae.
AAACAUGAGUAACAUGGACUAAC